GGGGGUUUAGCUCAGUGGUUCCAGUGCCUGCCUUGCAAGCAGAAGGUCCUGAGUUCGAUCCCUGGUACCUCCA
Molecule: transfer RNA, 73 nt
Filed under: Fukomys damarensis (Damara mole-rat)
Lineage: Eukaryota; Metazoa; Chordata; Mammalia; Rodentia; Bathyergidae
Rfam family: tRNA
About the family: Transfer RNA (tRNA) molecules are approximately 80 nucleotides in length. Their secondary structure includes four short double-helical elements and three loops (D, anti-codon, and T loops).
Source: Rfam by way of RNAcentral